Long non-coding RNA from Oreochromis niloticus (Nile tilapia), 649 nucleotides. RefSeq lists it as uncharacterized. The transcript has 4 exons. The record is from RefSeq and is a predicted model, not a curated record. NCBI's taxonomy places the organism in Eukaryota, Metazoa, Chordata, Actinopteri, Cichliformes, Cichlidae.
CAGUCGUGCUACUUGCUUGUGCGACUGACGCAUUUUCGCGACGCAAAUCUGCUUCUGAAUUUUCGCGGGACCCCCAGUCGCGCUUCAUCGCGCUCCUCCAUUGACUUUACAUGUAAACCUGAUGCUCUGGUCGCGUUUAUCACGUUCGGUGUAUACGCACCGUUAGCCUUGCAGUCGCCUCGCCCACCGUGAACCCACACUGUCGCUCUAUCCGUUUGUGACUUGAAAAAUGAAUAUGUCGCCUACUUGAAGUGUAUCUUGACUAUCAUGUUUUUCCUCUUUUUAUUGACAUUGUGCUCUUUUUUAUUUCUCUUUUCAGAUCAGAUUUGUAAAUUACCAUCCAUUCAAUAAACAGACCAAAUCCCGUAUACAAUUGUACCAACUCUGAAGAUGAACAGCCUCCAAAAAAAAAGGUUUCCCCAGGCCCCUCGAGUGAAAAUACCAGACCCCACCACUCUGCAGUCUGCCCCCCCUGCGCACUGAUAGCAACCGUCAUAGUGCCCCGCCCAGCUACCGGCACCUUUCGCCGGUAGCUCCGGCCCAACACACAAACUGACACGGCUAUGCGAUCUCCCCGGCCUGUAGAGUCUGCUUUUAAUGCCUUCGGUAUCGAUGAUUCCAGACAGUCUGUGAGGCCACUAUUGCUAGG